GCAAGUCGAGCGGAUGAGAAGAGCUUGCUCUUCGAUUCAGCGGCGGACGGGUGAGUAAUGCCUAGGAAUCUGCCUGGUAGUGGGGGACAACGUUUCGAAAGGAACGCUAAUACCGCAUACGUCCUACGGGAGAAAGCAGGGGACCUUCGGGCCUUGCGCUAUCAGAUGAGCCUAGGUCGGAUUAGCUAGUUGGUGAGGUAAUGGCUCACCAAGGCGACGAUCCGUAACUGGUCUGAGAGGAUGAUCAGUCACACUGGAACUGAGACACGGUCCAGACUCCUACGGGAGGCAACAGUGGGGAAUAUUGGACAAUGGGCGAAAGCCUGAUCCAGCCAUGCCGCGUGUGUGAAGAAGGUCUUCGGAUUGUAAAGCACUUUAAGUUGGGAGGAAGGGCAUUAACCUAAUACGUUAGCGUUUUGACGUUACCGACAGAAUAAGCACCGGCUAACUCUGUGCCAGCAGCCGCGGUAAUACAGAGGGUGCAAGCGUUAAUCGGAAUUACUGGGCGUAAAGCGCGCGUAGGUGGUUUGUUAAGUUGGAUGUGAAAGCCCCGGGCUCAACCUGGGAACUGCAUCCAAAACUGGCAAGCUAGAGUACGGUAGAGGGUGGUGGAAUUUCCUGUGUAGCGGUGAAAUGCGUAGAUAUAGGAAGGAACACCAGUGGCGAAGGCGACCACCUGGACUGAUACUGACACUGAGGUGCGAAAGCGUGGGGAGCAAACAGGAUUAGAUACCCUGGUAGUCCACGCCGUAAACGAUGUCAACUAGCCGUUGGAAUCCUUGAGAUUUUAGUGGCGCAGCUAACGCAUUAAGUUGACCGCCUGGGGAGUACGGCCGCAAGGUUAAAACUCAAAAUGAAAUGACGGGGGCCCGCAC
This 875-nucleotide ribosomal RNA is filed under the name uncultured Pseudomonas sp. RNAcentral describes it as "bacterial SSU rRNA". It matches the Rfam family "Bacterial small subunit ribosomal RNA", at positions 57 to 926 of the family's 1533-position model. Lineage: Bacteria; Pseudomonadati; Pseudomonadota; Gammaproteobacteria; Pseudomonadales; Pseudomonadaceae. The record is from RNAcentral.